Non-coding RNA from Meleagris gallopavo (turkey), 1193 nucleotides. The record is from RefSeq and is a predicted model, not a curated record. NCBI's taxonomy places the organism in Eukaryota, Metazoa, Chordata, Aves, Galliformes, Phasianidae.
AGGCCUGGAGCAGCAGCCUGCCACGGCCGGGCAGGAGCCCCGUUGGGGAGCCAGCCGCCGGCACCGCGCUGCCCACGUCGCCCUGCUCUGCUGCUGAAGACAACCGCCUGACGCCGCGGCUGGCUGUGCUCGGGGCCCGCCGGGCUGUCUCGGUCCACGAGGAGCAGCUCAGGGAGCCAGAGUGCCUGGCGGAGCUGGGAACUGCCACAAUUCCCCUCCGUCUGCGGCGGUCGCCUGUGCUGAAACGGAGACCAGAGGCGAGUGGUGAGCCGAGGCCGGCGGCGGAGGCAGGAGGCACCGCAGCGCAGGACCGGCUGCAGGCUGCGCCGGAUGAGACACGGACGGCAACCAGUGUGUUGCACGGGGAGCGGCCGCCAGCCGCAGCACAGACUGUUGUGUGUGCACAAGACUCAGCCGUAGACCAAAGAAGCCCCGUGCAGGGCCUCGGGGAGCCGGCCCUGGGACAGUGAGCCCCUGCAUGCCGCCGCACUGUUCCCAAUAAAACCCUGCAAGCGAGCGCACGGUGAUGGGGUGAUUAGCAAUGGGGAUGUAGGGCCGCUCCGCGCCCUGCUCCCCGCAUCUGGGCAGCCUCACCAUCUCCUCCAGAAGGAAGCAGCCCAAGGGCAUUGGCGCAGAAGGACUGGGGCUGUCGGGCUGGACUCCAGCGGGGCACAGAGCUGCAGCCCCAGAGCCUCCACGAAGGGCGGAGGAGCACAGAGCACCAUCCCCAUCUCUGGAGCAUGGGCGCAGGCUGCUGUGCUGCAGGUGUUGGCAGGGAAUGCUGGCACGGUUAGGACACCUGCCCCUCCAGCACCCCGAGGCCCAUGGAUCUCGCAGCAUGAUCUCCAACCAUCACCUUUCCAACCACUGCCCUGCCGCUCCCAGCCACCACCAGCAUUACCCCAAAGCCCACUUUGGCUUUCUCCCGUGGCAACCGCAAGCAGAUCAUCUCCCUUCCACCUCUGGAUCAAAUGCAUUCCCUGCACCGAUGUUUACGACACAGAAGCAAGAUGCUUGGUUGGUUUUUUUUUGUUUGUUCCCCUCUCCCGUCCCCCGCCUUUUUUUUUUUAAUACGAGAGCUGGGUAUUUAAAAAAUAUAUGACUUUUAAUUUUAACAACACAUACCUUGCUGGAUAUUUUGUAAGAAAGAGUGUGGAACUCAACGAAACUGAGUCAAUAAAUGUCCAAAUGCU